RNAcentral lists this ribosomal RNA (955 nucleotides) under feces metagenome. RNAcentral's name for it is "bacterial SSU rRNA". It matches the Rfam family "Bacterial small subunit ribosomal RNA", at positions 8 to 963 of the family's 1533-position model. The record is from RNAcentral.
AGAGUUUGAUCCUGGCUCAGGAUGAACGCUAGCGGCAGGCCUAAUACAUGCAAGUCGAGGGGUAUAUGGGAGCUUGCUUCCAUAGAGACCGGCGAACGGGUGCGUAACGCGUAUGCAACCUACCUUUAUCAGGGGGAUAGCCCGGAGAAAUCCGGAUUAACACCGCAUAAAAACACAACUUGGCAUCAAGUAAUGUUCAAAUAUUUAUAGGAUAAAGAUGGGCAUGCGUGUCAUUAGCUAGUUGGUGAGGUAACGGCUCACCAAGGCGACGAUGACUAGGGGAUCUGAGAGGAUGACCCCCCACACUGGUACUGAGACACGGACCAGACUCCUACGGGAGGCAGCAGUAAGGAAUAUUGGUCAAUGGAGGCAACUCUGAACCAGCCAUGCCGCGUGCAGGAAGACUGCCCUAUGGGUUGUAAACUGCUUUUAUGCCGGAAUAAACCUAUCUACGAGUAGAUAGCUGAAUGUACGGUAAGAAUAAGGAUCGGCUAACUCCGUGCCAGCAGCCGCGGUAAUACGGAGGAUCCAAGCGUUAUCCGGAUUUAUUGGGUUUAAAGGGAGCGUAGGCGGCCUUUUAAGUCAGGGGUGAAAGACGGUGGCUCAACCAUCGCAGUGCCCUUGAUACUGAAGGGCUUGAAUGUAGCUGAGGUAGGCGGAAUGUGACAAGUAGCGGUGAAAUGCAUAGAUAUGUCACAGAACACCGAUUGCGAAGGCAGCUUACCAAACUAUAAUUGACGCUGAGGCUCGAAAGCGUGGGGAUCGAACAGGAUUAGAUACCCUGGUAGUCCACGCCCUAAACGAUGAUAACUCGAUGUUAGCGAUAUACCGUUAGCGUCCAAGCGAAAGCGUUAAGUUAUCCACCUGGGGAGUACGCCCGCAAGGGUGAAACUCAAAGGAAUUGACGGGGGCCCGCACAAGCGGAGGAGCAUGUGGUUUAAUUCGAUGAUACGCG